GCCAGGAGGCCGGGCCCCUCGGGGCUGCGCAGCCCCUCCCUCUCCCUCCAGUCUGGUUGGUAUAGACGUGGAGGCCCCAGGGAGGAGGAAUGACCUGGCCCAGACGGAGGCCCCAACAGGGCACCCCAUAAACCCCGGAAAGUCUUUAGGGCCAGGCGUGGCCUCCCAUCAACAGCGGCCCCCGUGUCCCCGCCCCCCCUCCCCCCAUCCGUGCCCCCAUUGAUUCACUCAUCCACUACUCAGACAUCUUCCAACACUACACAGUGUCCCAAGACAGGCACGACUGGGACUCUGAAUCCAAGAGGGCAGACUAGCCACAGGCACGUGAGCAGGAUUCAGCACAAAGGAGUUCCUACUAUGUGCCAAACUCCAUAGCUCAAAGAACUGGAGAAGUUCUCUCAAGUACAAACGCUUCCUACCAAGAUCCUGGAUAAAUGGUCACCCUUCCGAUUAAAGGUUUCUCUCUGACACAUGAGUUUGCAUAUGCUGUUCCCUCUGCCUAGAAUGUCCUUCCACAUGGAAUCCAUCUGGACAACUCUUCCUCUUCCUGCAGGGGCUUGUUUAUCUUUGUAUCACAAGCACCUAUCACUAUUCCUGGCAGAGAGAAGACAUCCUACAAUCAAACCAGCUAGAGGUGACUGGACAAAGAGAUCUGACCAGUUAGACAGACAAAGCAUUCCAAAGGCUCCUGAGAUCCUGAAAUCACCCACCCAACCAGAACAACAGCUGCCACUUGAAAUCUUCUAAGUGUGACACAAACUCUUGAAAAGUAAAAGCAGAAAAAUUAAGCAAAUGAAGUUAUAAUGCCCAGCAGCCUGCACAAGUAAAACCCUACCAUUGAACAGCUCAGUGGAUGGAUUGAAGAGAGGCUAGUCAUUGAAGCAAUAUGAACUGGUGACUGGCAAUCACAUGGAAAAAACUCUCACUGCACAGAGCAAGCAAAGAGGUGGGCAAAUGAAAGAAAAGGAAAUCCUUGUUGAUUUGAAGACAGGGAUGUGUAAGGGUCCCUUAUCAGCAGGAUUUGAUAAGCUGCACACAAGCUGAAGCACAUAAGCACAGCAGCACAUAAGCUGAAGAAUGGAAUGGUGGUACAGCAUUGAGGGAAAGAUCCAUCAUCUGCUUUGCCUUCCCCUGCUUUUCUUUUUUCAGGUUUCUCUUUAAGCCUCUACAUGGGAGCCAUCUCUGGCUCAGUAACAAAUGACAUUGGUCCCAUGAAAUUUAUGAGCUUUUCACAGUAUAAAAUAGCAUCAGAUAAAGGUAUUCUUCAUCCACCCAAUACUACUCUUACUAUCACAGACACAGCUCAGUAGAGCUGACCAUCAUCAAGAAAUCAUUCCUUAGUUAUUAUAAUCAAUGAUUUUUUAAAUCAGACAAUGGUUUUUCUUUUAAAAAUAUAAGGAUUU
This is a long non-coding RNA of Canis lupus familiaris (dog), 1403 nucleotides long. RefSeq lists it as uncharacterized. NCBI's taxonomy places the organism in Eukaryota, Metazoa, Chordata, Mammalia, Carnivora, Canidae. The record is from RefSeq and is a predicted model, not a curated record. The transcript is spliced from 6 exons.